UAGAAAGUUUUUAUUAUUUUUUUCAGGAAGUAGAGAGGAAGGAAAAGGACAAGGGACAAUGCUAUAAAAUCCAGAACCAGGGAAAACUUGGAGCCUAUGUCAGGACAAGAUUAAAAGGUGAAGGGGUGGCCAAGGGGGACUUCAUGGGGAGAACUGAGAUGUUUAAUGGGAAUAUCUAUUAAGUUUGUCAUGUGGGACUUAUUUAUAACCCUUUCAUGUAUCAUUCCAUGAAAUCUACAGUAAAACCUAUGCUUCUUGCCCAUGUUGGGCAGUUAAAUUUGUUCUUGUUGAGUCAGAAGUGUUGCAUCUGUGAGCCUAGGGUCACAUUGCUUAGAUAUCAGCAACUGCUCCCCUGGCUGAAGAUAUGCAUUGUUUCUAAAAAGCAGAAUGAAGAAACAAACACCUGGAAACCGUCAUCAUUGGGCCCAGAACAACACAGCUCAGCUCUGAAAGAUGAAAAUAGAGUUUCAUCUGGCAAGGUAAUUGCCUACAAGAUCUACCUCUGGAAAUAA
Molecule: long non-coding RNA, 512 nt
Filed under: Suricata suricatta (meerkat)
Lineage: Eukaryota; Metazoa; Chordata; Mammalia; Carnivora; Herpestidae
Description: lncRNA (ENSSSUG00005003712.1)
Source: RNAcentral